RNAcentral lists this ribosomal RNA (409 nucleotides) under bacterium. RNAcentral describes it as "partial 16S ribosomal RNA". It matches the Rfam family "Bacterial small subunit ribosomal RNA", at positions 355 to 776 of the family's 1533-position model. The record is from RNAcentral.
UGGGGAAUAUUGCACAAUGGGCGAAAGCCUGAUGCAGCGACGCCGCGUGAGGGAUGACGGCCUUCGGGUUGUAAACCUCUUUCAGUAGGGACGAAGCGCAAGUGACGGUACCUGCAGAAGAAGCACCGGCUAACUACGUGCCAGCAGCCGCGGUAAUACGUAGGGUGCGAGCGUUGUCCGGAAUUACUGGGCGUAAAGAGCUCGUAGGCGGUUUGUCACGUCGUCUGUGAAAUCCUAGGGCUUAACCCUGGACGUGCAGGCGAUACGGGCUGACUUGAGUACUACAGGGGAGACUGGAAUUUCUGGUGUAGCGGUGGAAUGCACAGAUAUCAGGAAGAACACCGAUGGCGAAGGCAGGUCUCUGGGUAGUAACUGACGCUGAGAAGCGAAAGCAUGGGUAGCGAACAGG